RNAcentral lists this ribosomal RNA (466 nucleotides) under uncultured bacterium. Its description in RNAcentral is "partial 16S ribosomal RNA". It matches the Rfam family "Bacterial small subunit ribosomal RNA", at positions 339 to 795 of the family's 1533-position model. The record is from RNAcentral.
CUACGGGAGGCAGCAGUGGGGAAUAUUGGACAAUGGGGGAAACCCUGAUCCAGCAAUGCCGCGUGUGUGAAGAAGGCCUGCGGGUUGUAAAGCACUUUCGGUUGGGAGGACUGCUUCUAGCACUAAUAUUGUUGGAAGUUGACGUUACCUUCAGAAGAAGCACCGGCUAACUCCGUGCCAGCAGCCGCGGUAAUAGCGGAGGGUGCAAGCGUUAAUCGGAAUUACUGGGCGUAAAGCGCGCGUAGGCGGCUAGAUCAGUCGGGUGUGAAAGCCCCGGGCUUAACCUGGGAACUGCAUCCGAUACUGUCUAGCUUGAGUACAGGAGAGGAGAGUGGAAUUCCACAUGUAGCGGUGAAAUGCGUAGAUAUGUGGAGGAACACCAAUGGCGAAGGCAGCUCUCUGGACCAAUACUGACACUGAGGUGCGAAAGCGUGGGGAGCAAACAGGAUUAGAUACCCUAGUAGUC